Molecule: ribosomal RNA, 253 nt
Filed under: uncultured bacterium
Lineage: Bacteria
Description: partial 16S ribosomal RNA
Rfam family: Bacterial small subunit ribosomal RNA
Source: RNAcentral
UACGUAGGGCGCAAGCGUUGUCCGGAAUUAUUGGGCGUAAAGAGCUCGUAGGUGGUUUGUUACGUCUGCUGUGAAAACCUAGGGCUUAACCCUGGGCUUGCAGUGGAUACGGGCAGACUAGAGGUAGGUAGGGGAGAAUGGAAUUCCUGGUGUAGCGGUGAAAUGCGCAGAUAUCAGGAGGAACACCGGUGGCGAAGGCAGAUCUCUGGACCGAUACUGACGCUGAGGCGCGAAAGCGUGGGGAGCAAACAGG